Molecule: ribosomal RNA, 680 nt
Filed under: uncultured crenarchaeote
Lineage: Archaea; Thermoproteati; Thermoproteota
Description: bacterial SSU rRNA
Rfam family: Archaeal small subunit ribosomal RNA
Source: RNAcentral
AUUAUUUACGGCUCAGUAACACGUAGUCAACCUGCCCUGGAGACCAGGAUAACCCCGGGAAACUGGGAUUAAUACUGGAUAGGUCAUCUCAUCUGGAAGGAGAGAUGGCUUAAAGGGGUGUGUGAGCUUCUUUCAUACAGCUGCUCCAGGAUGGGACUGCGACUGAUCAGGCUGUUGGCGGGGUAAUGGCCCACCAAACCAGUAACCAGUACGGGCCUUGAGAGAGGGGGCCCGGAGAUGGACACUGAGAGAAGGGUCCAGGUCCUACGGGGCGCAGCAGGCGCGAAACCUUCGCAAUGCGCGAAAGCGUGACGAGGUUAAUCCGAGUGGUUCCCGCUGAGGGAAUCUUUUGUCGGCUCUAAAAAGGCCGGCGAAUAAGGGGAGGGCAAGUCUGGUGUCAGCCGCCGCGGUAAUACCAGCUCCUCGAGUGGUCGGGGCGAUUAUUGGGCCUAAAGCAUCCGUAGCCGGUUCUGUAGGUCCUCUGUUAAAUCCAACGGCUUAACCGUUGGCCCGUCAGAGGAUACCGCAGGACUAGGAGGCGGGAGAGGCAGACGGUACUCUACGUGAAGGGGUAAAAUCCUUUGAUCCGUAGAAGACCACCAGUGGCGAAGGCGGUCUGCCAGAACGCGCUCGACGGUGAGGGAUGAAAGCUGGGGGAGCGAACCGGAUUAGAUACCCGG